Molecule: non-coding RNA, 23 nt
Filed under: Cricetulus griseus (Chinese hamster)
Lineage: Eukaryota; Metazoa; Chordata; Mammalia; Rodentia; Cricetidae
Source: RNAcentral
CAGGCUGGUGUCGAUGGAAGCAU